RNAcentral lists this ribosomal RNA (450 nucleotides) under uncultured Glomeromycotina. RNAcentral describes it as "SSU rRNA". It matches the Rfam family "Eukaryotic small subunit ribosomal RNA", at positions 569 to 1024 of the family's 1831-position model. The record is from RNAcentral. Lineage: Eukaryota; Fungi; Glomeromycota.
AGCAGCCGCGGUAAUUCCAGCUCCAAUAGCGUAUAUUAAAGUUGUUGCAGUUAAAAAGCUCGUAGUUGAAUUUCGGGAUCAAUAUAUCGGUCGUGCCUUGGUACGUACUGGUAUCAUUGGUUUCUCCUUUCUGACGAACCAUGAUGUCAUUAAUUUGGUGUUAUGGGAAGUUAGGACUGUUACUUUGAAAAAAUUAGAGUGUUUAAAGCAGGCUUUAGCUUGAAUACAUUAGCAUGGAAUAAUGAAAUAGGACGUUCGAACCUAUUUUGUUGGUUUCUAGGAUCAGCGUAAUGAUUAAUAGGGAUAGUUGGGGGCAUUAGUAUUCAAUUGUCAGAGGUGAAAUUCUUGGAUUUAUUGAAGACUAACUACUGCGAAAGCAUUUGCCAAGGAUGUUUUCAUUAAUCAAGAACGAAAGUUAGGGGAUCGAAGACGAUCAGAUACCGUCGUAGU